CGUAGGGGGCAAGCGUUGUCCGGAAUCAUUGGGCGUAAAGCGCGUGUAGGCGGCCAGAAAAGUCCGCUGUGAAAACUCGAGGCUCAACUUCGAGCUGUCGGUGGAAACUUUCUGGCUAGAGUCCGGAAGAGGAGAAUGGAAUUCCUGGUGUAGCGGUGAAAUGCGCAGAUAUCAGGAAGAACACCCGUGGCGAAGGCGGUUCUCUGGGACGGUACUGGCGCUGAGACGCGAAAGCGUGGGGAGCGAACAGGAUUAGAUACCCUGGUAGUCCACGCCGUAAACGAUGGGUGCUAGGUGUGGGGGGUGUCGACUCCCUCCGUGCCGAAGCUAACGCAUUAAGCACCCCGCCUGGGGAGUACGGCCGCAGGGCUA
RNAcentral lists this ribosomal RNA (372 nucleotides) under uncultured organism. RNAcentral's name for it is "bacterial SSU rRNA". It matches the Rfam family "Bacterial small subunit ribosomal RNA", at positions 526 to 896 of the family's 1533-position model. The record is from RNAcentral.